Oreochromis niloticus (Nile tilapia) is the source of this 449-nucleotide long non-coding RNA. RefSeq lists it as uncharacterized. NCBI's taxonomy places the organism in Eukaryota, Metazoa, Chordata, Actinopteri, Cichliformes, Cichlidae. The transcript has 2 exons. The record is from RefSeq and is a predicted model, not a curated record.
UGCCGUCAUAGGCAACUCUCGCAAGUUCAUUUUAUUGGAUUUGAUGUUGAAACAAUUAGUAGUUGAAAUAUUAAGAAAUAAUAAAUAAAUAGUCAUUCAUGUUUGUUGAUUAGAUUUAUAUGUUUAAAUGUGUUAUUUGUGCUAACUGUGCAAUUAGAUAGGAACCUUUUCUAUAGUUCCGUUUGUUGUUGCUAAGAGGGUAUUUUUUGGCUGUCACACUCAGCAAGCUAAUUAAGAGACGAGCCACGAGGUUUGCACGUCUACAGUAAGAUAAAUAAAAGAGUGCCUUUUUUGGACUACCCCACGACGUAAGGAUUAAAGUUUUUAUUCCCUUUGAGUGAGGCCAAUGAGUUCUGACGGCAUUGUAUCGGCUGUGGUUGGGCAUCAUUACAUGUUAAGGCAUGUCGAAGAAUCCUCCUGUCCGAAAUAAAUGUCAGUUUAAAAGCAAA